Molecule: non-coding RNA, 91 nt
Organism: Mycena galopus ATCC 62051
Lineage: Eukaryota; Fungi; Basidiomycota; Agaricomycetes; Agaricales; Mycenaceae
Source: the annotation of a GenBank genome assembly
GCAUUAAUGGGGUAGUGGUAACCUGGGUCGUUGCCAUAUCGUGUACCAUGUUGUAUUCGACCCGCCGGGGGUUCGAUUCCCCCUUAAUGCA